This 374-nucleotide ribosomal RNA is filed under the name Nematoda sp. Its description in RNAcentral is "SSU rRNA". It matches the Rfam family "Eukaryotic small subunit ribosomal RNA", at positions 252 to 626 of the family's 1831-position model. Lineage: Eukaryota; Metazoa; Nematoda. The record is from RNAcentral.
UUGAACAAUUUAGCUGAUCGCACGGUCUAAGAACCGGCGACAUAUCCUUCAAAUGUCUGCCUUAUCAACUUUCGAUGGUAAAUUAUGCGCCUACCAGGGUUGUAACGGGUAACGGAAAAUCAGGGUUUGAUUCCGGAAAGGGAGCCUGAAAAACGGCUACCACAUCCAAGGAAGGCAGCAGGCACGCAAAUUACCCACUCCCGGCACGGGGAGGUAGUGACAAAAAAUAACAAGCUGGUCUCAAUGAGUUCCGGCAUUGUAAUGGGAACAAUUUAAAUCAUUUAUCGAGGAUCUAUUGAAGGGCAAGUCUGGUGCCAGCACCCGCGGUAAUUCCAGCUCCAAUAGCGUAUAUAAAAGUUGUUGCGGUUAAAAAG